RNAcentral lists this ribosomal RNA (460 nucleotides) under uncultured bacterium. RNAcentral describes it as "partial 16S ribosomal RNA". It matches the Rfam family "Bacterial small subunit ribosomal RNA", at positions 338 to 795 of the family's 1533-position model. The record is from RNAcentral.
CCUACGGGUGGCAGCAGUGAGGAAUAUUGGUCAAUGGGCGGGAGCCUGAACCAGCCAAGCAGCGUGAAGGAGGACGGUACAGCGUGUUGUAAACCUCUUUUGUCAGGGAAUAAAGCCUGGGACGCGUACCCGUUUGCGUGUACCUGAUGAAAAAGCAUCGGCUAAAUCCGUGCCAGCAGCCGCGGUAAUACGGAAGAUGCGAGCGUUAUCCGGAUUUAUUGGGUUUAAAGGGUGCGUAGGCGGUCUGUUAAGGCAGCGGUGAAAGGUCGGGGCUCAACCCCGGCCUCGCGUUUGAAACUGGCAGGCUUGAGUUGGAGUGAAGCAGGCGGAAUGCGCGGUGUAGCGGUGAAAUGCAUAGAUAUCACGAAGAACUCCGAUGGCGAAGGCAGCGUACUGGCGCGCAACUGACGCUGAUGCACGAAAGCGUGGGUAUCGAACAGGAUUAGAUACCCUUGUAGUC